RNAcentral lists this ribosomal RNA (497 nucleotides) under uncultured bacterium. Its description in RNAcentral is "partial 16S ribosomal RNA". It matches the Rfam family "Bacterial small subunit ribosomal RNA", at positions 28 to 507 of the family's 1533-position model. The record is from RNAcentral.
GAUGAACGCUGGCGGCGUGCCUAAUACAUGCAAGUCGAGCGAACGGACGAGAAGCUUGCUUCUCUGAUGUUAGCGGCGGACGGGUGAGUAACACGUAGAUAACCUACCUAUAAGACUGGGAUAACUUCGGGAAACCGGAGCUAAUACCGGAUAAUAUUUUGAACCGCAUGGUUCAAAAGUGAAAGACGGUCUUGCUGUCACUUAUAGAUGGAUCCGCGCUGCAUUAGCUAGUUGGUAAGGUAACGGCUUACCAAGGCAACGAUGCAUAGCCGACCUGAGAGGGUGAUCGGCCACAUUGGAACGUAGACACGGUCCAGGCUCCUACGGGAGGCAGCAGUAGGGAAUCUUCCGCAAUGGGCGAAAGCCUGACGGAGCAACGCCGCGUGAGUGAUGAAGGUCUUCGGAUCGUAAAACUCUGUUAUUAGGGAAGAACAUAUGUGUAAGUAACUGUGCACAUCUUGACGGUACCUAAUCAGAAAGCCACGGCUAACUACGUG